RNAcentral lists this long non-coding RNA (211 nucleotides) under Elaeis guineensis (African oil palm). RNAcentral's name for it is "long non-coding RNA (EGUI_LNC049348)". The record is from RNAcentral. Lineage: Eukaryota; Viridiplantae; Streptophyta; Magnoliopsida; Arecales; Arecaceae.
CCUCCUUCUUCUUCUUCAUCUAGAAAGCUCAGAUCCAUCUCUAGAAAGCAUGCCGCUACCUUCUGAUGGCAGACAUCCCAUCUGAUGGUGAAGACCUCCUGGUUGAAGUCGAUUUUAUCCUAGGAGAACUCCUCAAACAUGCAAAAAGCUUCCAUUGCCGCAUGCUCAGCUUCAGCAACUCGAUCCUCUGCCUUCUUCUCGGCUUCAAUGG